Transfer RNA from Photobacterium profundum SS9, 82 nucleotides. It matches the Rfam family "tRNA". Rfam says of the family: Transfer RNA (tRNA) molecules are approximately 80 nucleotides in length. Their secondary structure includes four short double-helical elements and three loops (D, anti-codon, and T loops). NCBI's taxonomy places the organism in Bacteria, Pseudomonadati, Pseudomonadota, Gammaproteobacteria, Vibrionales, Vibrionaceae. The record is from Rfam.
GCGGGAAUGGCGGAAUUGGUAGACGCACCAGAUUUAGGUUCUGGCGCCGCAAGGUGUGAGAGUUCAAGUCUCUCUUUCCGCA